Molecule: ribosomal RNA, 610 nt
Filed under: Marinobacter litoralis
Lineage: Bacteria; Pseudomonadati; Pseudomonadota; Gammaproteobacteria; Pseudomonadales; Marinobacteraceae
Description: bacterial SSU rRNA
Rfam family: Bacterial small subunit ribosomal RNA
Source: RNAcentral
UGGCGCAGAAAACGCACUAAGUUGACCGCAUGGGGAGUACGGCCGCAAGGUUAAAACUCAAAUGAAUUGAGGGGGGCCCGCACAAGCGGUGGAGCAUGUGGUUUAAUUCGACGCAACGCGAAGAACCUUACCUGGCCUUGACAUGCAGAGAACUUUCCAGAGAUGGAUUGGUGCUUUCGGGAACUCUGACACAGGUGCUGCAUGGCCGUUGUCAGCUCGUGUCGUGAGAUGUUGGGUUAAGUCCCGUAACGAGCGCAACCCCUAUCCUUGGUUGCUAGCAGGUAAUGCUGAGAACUCCAGGGAGACUGCCGGUGACAAACCGGAGGAAGGUGGGGAUGACGUCAGGUCAUCAUGGCCCUUACGGCCAGGGCUACACACGUGCUACAAUGGCGUAUACAGAGGGCUGCCAACUCGCGAGAGUGAGCCAAUCCCUUAAAGUGCGUCGUAGUCCGGAUCGCAGUCUGCAACUCGACUGCGUGAAGUCGGAAUCGCUAGUAAUCGCGAAUCAGAAUGUCGCGGUGAAUACGUUCCCGGGCCUUGUACACACCGCCCGUCACACCAUGGGAGUGGAUUGCACCAGAAGUGGUUAGUCUAACCUUCGGGAGGACGA